RNAcentral lists this ribosomal RNA (433 nucleotides) under uncultured bacterium. RNAcentral's name for it is "partial 16S ribosomal RNA". It matches the Rfam family "Bacterial small subunit ribosomal RNA", at positions 29 to 507 of the family's 1533-position model. The record is from RNAcentral.
AGCGAACGCUGGCGGCAGGCCUAACACAUGCAAGUCGAACGAACUCUUCGGAGUUAGUGGCGGACGGGUGAGUAACACGUGGGAACGUGCCUUUUGGUUCGGAAUAACUCAGGGAAACUUGUGCUAAUACCGAAUGUGCCCUUCGGGGGAAAGAUUUAUCGCCAUUAGAGCGGCCCGCGUCUGAUUAGCUAGUUGGUGAGGUAACGGCUCACCAAGGCGACGAUCAGUAGCUGGUCUGAGAGGAUGACCAGCCACACUGGGACUGAGACACAGCCCAGACUCCUACGGGAGGCAGCAGUGGGGAAUCUUGCGCAAUGGGCGAAAGCCUGACGCAGCCAUGCCGCGUGAAUGAUGAAGGUCUUAGGAUUGUAAAAUUCUUUCACCGGGGACGAUAAUGACAGUACCCGGAGAAGAAGCCCCGGCUAACUUCGUG